This 66-nucleotide transfer RNA is filed under the name Mesechinus dauuricus (Daurian hedgehog). RNAcentral describes it as "tRNA-Pro". Lineage: Eukaryota; Metazoa; Chordata; Mammalia; Eulipotyphla; Erinaceidae. RNAcentral also lists the same sequence under 1 other name. The record is from RNAcentral.
CAAGGAGUAGUUUAAGUAGAAUAUCAGCUUUGGGUGUUGAUGGUAGGACUAUAGUCUUUUCCUUGA